RNAcentral lists this ribosomal RNA (423 nucleotides) under Rhinella marina group sp. ABGD cluster 38. Its description in RNAcentral is "partial large subunit ribosomal RNA". It matches the Rfam family "Bacterial large subunit ribosomal RNA", at positions 1835 to 2457 of the family's 2925-position model. The record is from RNAcentral. Lineage: Eukaryota; Metazoa; Chordata; Amphibia; Anura; Bufonidae.
CUUGACUCUUAUAAGAGGUCCAGCCUGCCCAGUGACCAUGUUCAACGGCCGCGGUAUCCUAACCGUGCGAAGGUAGCGUAAUCACUUGUUCUUUAAAUGCGGACUAGUAUGAAUGGCACCACGAAGGUUAUACUGUCUCCUUUUUCUAAUCAGUGAAACUAAUCUCCCCGUGAAGAAGCAAGGAUAUACCUAUAAGACGAGAAGACCCUAUGGAGCUUUAAACAACACAGCAAUUACCUGCUAAACUAAGAAGUUUCUGAACAUUUUCAAUCUUUUAAGUAAUCUGACUGCAAGUUUUUGGUUGGGGUGACCACGGAGCAUAACACAACCUCCAUGUUGAAAGAAUUCUUUCUAAGCCAAGAACAACCUUUCUAAGCAUCAAUAUAUUGACAUCCAUUGACCCAAUACAUUUGACCAACGAAC